This 253-nucleotide ribosomal RNA is filed under the name uncultured bacterium. Its description in RNAcentral is "partial 16S ribosomal RNA". It matches the Rfam family "Bacterial small subunit ribosomal RNA", at positions 524 to 776 of the family's 1533-position model. The record is from RNAcentral.
UACGUAGGGUGCAAGCGUUAAUCGGAAUUACUGGGCGCAAAGCGUGCGCAGGCGGCUUUGCAAGACAGAUGUGAAAUCCCCGGGCUUAACCUGGGAACUGCAUUUGUGACUGCAUGGCUGGAGUGCGGCAGAGGGGGAUGGAAUUCCGCGUGUAGCAGUGAAAUGCGUAGAUAUACGGAGGAACACCGAUGGCGAAGGCAAUCCCCUGGGCCUGCACUGACGCUCAUGCACGAAAGCGUGGGGAGCAAACAGG